RNAcentral lists this ribosomal RNA (495 nucleotides) under uncultured bacterium. Its description in RNAcentral is "partial 16S ribosomal RNA". It matches the Rfam family "Bacterial small subunit ribosomal RNA", at positions 28 to 505 of the family's 1533-position model. The record is from RNAcentral.
GAUGAACGCUGGCGGCGUGCCUAAUACAUGCAAGUCGAGCGAACGGACGAGAAGCUUGCUUCUCUGAUGUUAGCGGCGGACGGGUGAGUAACACGUGGAUAACCUACCUAUAAGACUGGGAUAACUUCGGGAAACCGGAGCUAAUACCGGAUAAUAUUUUGAACCGCAUGGUUCAAAAGUGAAAGACGGUCUUGCCGUCACUUAUGGAUGGAUCCGCGCUGCAUUAGCUAGUUGGUAAGGUAACGGCUUACCAAGGCAACGAUGCAUAGCCGACCUGAGAGGGAGAAGCGGCAACACGGAACGGAAGCCGCGCUCAGGACUCAGCGGGGGGGCAGCGUUGGGAAUUCUACGAAAGGGGGCAAAGCCUGACCGGAAAACCGCGCGUGAGGAAAUAAGGUUUUGGGGUUGAAAAACUUUUUUUAUGGGGGAAAAAAAAUUGGGAAGUAACUGGGGACAUUUUGGGGGAACAAAAAAAAAAAGCCCGCGGAAACCUAG